UCGUAACAAGGUUUCCGUAGGUGAACCUGCGGAAGGAUCAUUACCGAGUGAGGGCCCUCUGGGUCCAACCUCCCACCCGUGUUUAUUUUACCUUGUUGCUUGGGCGGGCCCGCCUUAACUGGCCGCCGGGGGGCUUACGCCCCCGGGCCCGCGCCCGCCGAAGACACCCUCGAACUCUGUCUGAAGAUUGUAGUCUGAGUGAAAAUAUAAAUUAUUUAAAACUUUCAACAACGGAUCUCUUGGUUCCGGCAUCGAUGAAGAACGCAGCGAAAUGCGAUACGUAAUGUGAAUUGCAAAUUCAGUGAAUCAUCGAGUCUUUGAACGCACAUUGCGCCCCCUGGUAUUCCGGGGGGCAUGCCUGUCCGAGCGUCAUUGCUGCCCUCAAGCACGGCUUGUGUGUUGGGCCCCGUCCUCCGAUCCCGGGGGACGGGCCCGAAAGGCAGCGGCGGCACCGCGUCCGGUCCUCGAGCGUAUGGGGCUUUGUCACCCGCUCUGUAGGCCCGGCCGGCGCUUGCCGAUCAACCCAAAUUUUUAUCCAGGUUGACCUCGGAUCAGGUAGGGAUACCCGCUGAACUUAAGCAUAUCAAUAA
This 590-nucleotide unclassified non-coding RNA is filed under the name Penicillium chrysogenum. RNAcentral's name for it is "sequence contains 18S rRNA gene, ITS1, 5.8S rRNA gene, ITS2, 28S rRNA gene". The stretch from base 220 to 372 matches the Rfam family "5.8S ribosomal RNA". The record is from RNAcentral. Lineage: Eukaryota; Fungi; Ascomycota; Eurotiomycetes; Eurotiales; Aspergillaceae.